RNAcentral lists this transfer RNA (73 nucleotides) under Dehalococcoides mccartyi. Its description in RNAcentral is "tRNA-Arg". It matches the Rfam family "tRNA". Rfam says of the family: Transfer RNA (tRNA) molecules are approximately 80 nucleotides in length. Lineage: Bacteria; Bacillati; Chloroflexota; Dehalococcoidia; Dehalococcoidales; Dehalococcoidaceae. The record is from RNAcentral.
GCCUCUGUAGCUCAGUGGAUAGAGCACCAGCCUCCGAAGCUGGUUGCGAGAGUUCGAGUCUCUCCAGGGGCAC